This 1235-nucleotide ribosomal RNA is filed under the name metagenome. RNAcentral's name for it is "bacterial LSU rRNA". It matches the Rfam family "Bacterial large subunit ribosomal RNA", at positions 1564 to 2810 of the family's 2925-position model. The record is from RNAcentral.
UGAUGGCGAGACGCUAAGGCGUUGAAGCAGUGUAUGUCAGACUUCCAAGAAAAGCUCGCAAUGUCACAAAUAAAAAUGCCUGUACCAUAACCGACACAGGUGGGUAGGUAGAGUAUACUAAGGGGCGCGAGAUAACUCUCUCUAAGGAACUCGGCAAAAUGACUCCGUAACUUCGGGAGAAGGAGUGCCUUAUUUAUAAGGUUGCAAUAACAAGAUCCAAGCAACUGUUUAUCAAAAACACAGGUCUCCGCUAAGUCGUAAGACGAUGUAUGGGGGCUGACGCCUGCCCAGUGCCAGAAGGUUAAAGAAGUUGGUUAGUGUAUGCGAAGCUGAUGACUGAAGCCCUGGUGAACGGCGGCCGUAACUAUAACGGUCCUAAGGUAGCGAAAUUCCUUGUCGGGUAAGUUCCGACCCGCACGAAAGGCGUAAUGAUUUGGAUACUGUCUCGGAGAGAGGCUCGGUGAAAUAGACUUGUCUGUGAAGAUGCGGACUACCUGCACCAGGACAGAAAGACCCUAUGAAGCUUUACUGUAACUUGAAAUUGGAAUUGGACUUUGCUUGCGCAGUAUAGGUGGGAAGCGUUGAAAAUAUUCUUGCGGGAGUAUUGGAGCUAUCAGUGAGAUACCACUCUUGUAAUGUUAGAUUUCUAACUUUGAACCAUAAUCUGGUCAAAGAACAGUUUCUGGUGGGCAGUUUGACUGGGGCGGUCGCCUCCCAAAUGGUAACGGAGGCGUACAAAGGUUUCCUCUGAACGGAUAGAAAUCGUAUCUAGAGUGUAAAGGCAUAAGGAAGCUUGACUGUGAGACCUACAAGUCGAGCAGGGACGAAAGUCGGUCUUAGUGAUCUGACGGUACUGAGUGGAAAGGCCGUCACUCAACGGAUAAAAGUUACUCUAGGAUAACAGGCUGAUCUCCCCCAAGAGUUCACAUCGACGGGGAGGUUUGGCACCUCGAUGUCGGCUCAUCGCAUCCUGGGGCGGUAGUACGUCCCAAGGGUUGGGCUGUUCGCCCAUGAAAGCGGUACGCGAGCUGGGUUCAGAACGUCGUGAGACAGUUCGGUCCAUAUCCGGUGUAGGCGCUAGAAUAUUGAGAGGAGCCUUCUUCAGUACGAGAGGACCGAGAAGGACACACCGCUGGUGUACCAGUUAUCGUGCCAACGGUAAACGCUGGGUAGCUAUGUGUGGAGUGGAUAACCGCUGAAAGCAUCUAAGUGGGAAGCCCACCUCGAGAUGAGUA